Molecule: ribosomal RNA, 403 nt
Filed under: bacterium
Lineage: Bacteria
Description: partial 16S ribosomal RNA
Rfam family: Bacterial small subunit ribosomal RNA
Source: RNAcentral
UGGGGAAUAUUGCACAAUGGAGGGAACUCUGAUGCAGCGACGCCGCGUGAACGAAGAAGGCUUUCGAGUCGUAAAGUUCUUUUAUAUGGGAAGAUAAUGACGGUACCAUAAGAAAAAGCCCCGGCUAACUACGUGCCAGCAGCCGCGGUAAUACGUAGGGGGCUAGCGUUGUCCGGAAUCACUGGGCGUAAAGGGUUCGCAGGCGGAAAUGCAAGUCAGGUGUAAAAGGCAGUAGCUUAACUACUGUAAGCAUUUGAAACUGCAUAUCUUGAGAGGAGUAGAGGUAAGUGGAAUUUUUAGUGUAGCGGUGAAGUGCGUAGAUAUUAAAAAGAAUACCGGUGGCGAAGGCGACUUACUGGGCUCAUUCUGACGCUGAGGAACGAAAGCGUGGGUAGCAAACAGG